UACGUAGGGUGCAAGCGUUGUCCGGAAUUAUUGGGCGUAAAGAGCUCGUAGGCGGUUCGUCGCGUCGGCUGUGAAAACCUGAGGCUCAACCUCAGGCCUGCAGUCGAUACGGGCGGACUUGAGUACUGCAGGGGAGACUGGAAUUCCUGGUGUAGCGGUGAAAUGCGCAGAUAUCAGGAGGAACACCGGUGGCGAAGGCGGGUCUCUGGGCCGUAACUGACGCUGAGGAGCGAAAGCGUGGGGAGCGAACAGG
This 253-nucleotide ribosomal RNA is filed under the name uncultured bacterium. Its description in RNAcentral is "partial 16S ribosomal RNA". It matches the Rfam family "Bacterial small subunit ribosomal RNA", at positions 524 to 776 of the family's 1533-position model. The record is from RNAcentral.